UUGUCUCUUAGAGUUCCUUUGAACGCUUCAUGCAUGAGAAUAUCUAUCUAUUUGGUUUAAAAUCCAUUAGGAUAGAUAGUUCUUCUUAAAUGAAGUGUUUGGGGGAACUCUUGGGUUCAA
Molecule: microRNA precursor, 120 nt
Organism: Medicago truncatula (barrel medic)
Lineage: Eukaryota; Viridiplantae; Streptophyta; Magnoliopsida; Fabales; Fabaceae
Rfam family: mir-395 microRNA precursor family
About the family: mir-395 was identified in both Arabidopsis thaliana and Oryza sativa computationally and was later experimentally verified. mir-395 is thought to target mRNAs coding for ATP sulphurylases. The mature sequence is excised from the 3' arm of the hairpin.
Source: Rfam